CAGCCGCCGCGGGAAUACGAGGGGGGCGAGCGUUGUUCGGAAUUAUUGGGCGUAAAGGGCUCGCAGGCGGUUUCUUAAGUCUGAUGUGAAAGCCCCCGGCUCAACCGGGGAGGGUCAUUGGAAACUGGGAAACUUGAGUGCAGAAGAGGAGAGUGGAAUUCCACGUGUAGCGGUGAAAUGCGUAGAGAUGUGGAGGAACACCAGUGGCGAAGGCGACUCUCUGGCUUGUAACUGACGCUGAGGCUCGAAAGCGUGGGGAGCAAACAGGAUUAGAUACCCCAGUAGUCCCUGUCUCUUAUAC
This 301-nucleotide ribosomal RNA is filed under the name uncultured bacterium. Its description in RNAcentral is "partial 16S ribosomal RNA". It matches the Rfam family "Bacterial small subunit ribosomal RNA", at positions 509 to 807 of the family's 1533-position model. The record is from RNAcentral.